CAAAGCAUAGCUUAAUCCAAAGCAUCUAGCUUACACCUAGAAGAUAUCAUACAAACAUGACUGCUUUGA
RNAcentral lists this transfer RNA (69 nucleotides) under Sturnira bakeri. Its description in RNAcentral is "tRNA-Val". It matches the Rfam family "tRNA". Rfam says of the family: Transfer RNA (tRNA) molecules are approximately 80 nucleotides in length. Their secondary structure includes four short double-helical elements and three loops (D, anti-codon, and T loops). Further hydrogen bonds mediate the characteristic L-shaped molecular structure. tRNAs have two regions of fundamental functional importance: the anti-codon, which is responsible for specific mRNA codon recognition, and the 3' end, to which the tRNAs corresponding amino acid is attached (by aminoacyl-tRNA synthetases). tRNAs cope with the degeneracy of the genetic code in two manners: having more than one tRNA (with a specific anti-codon) for a particular amino acid; and 'wobble' base-pairing, i.e. permitting non-standard base-pairing at the 3rd anti-codon position. The record is from RNAcentral. Lineage: Eukaryota; Metazoa; Chordata; Mammalia; Chiroptera; Phyllostomidae.